UGAGUACGAGACACUACGGUGUCGAAGCAGUCUAUGUCAUACUUCCAAGAAAAGCUUGCACUGUCAUAAACAAAUAAUGCCUGUACCAUAACCGACACAGGUGGGUAGGUAGAGUAUACUAAGGGGCGCGAGAUAACUCUCUCUAAGGAACUCGGCAAAAUGACUCCGUAACUUCGGGAGAAGGAGUGCCUUAUAUUUUAUAAGGUUGCAAUAACAAGAUCCAAGCAACUGUUUACCAAAAACACAGGUCUCCGCUAAGUCGUAAGACGAUGUAUGGGGGCUGACGCCUGCCCAGUGCCAGAAGGUUAAAGAAGUUGGUUAGUAUUUGCGAAGCUGAUAACUGAAGCCCUGGUGAACGGCGGCCGUAACCAUAACGGUCCUAAGGUAGCGAAAUUCCUUGUCGGGUAAGUUCCGACCCGCACGAAAGGCGUAAUGAUUUGGAUACUGUCUCGGAGAGGGACUCGGUGAAAUAGACUUGUCUGUGAAGAUGCGGACUACUUGCACCAGGACAGAAAGACCCUAUGAAGCUUUACUGUAACUUGAAAUUGAAAUUGGACUUUACUUGCGCAGUAUAGGUGGGAGGCUUUGAGAAUAUUCUUGCGGGAAUAUUGGAGCCAUUAGUGAGAUACCACUCUGGUAAUGUUAGAUUUCUAACUUUGUAUCAUUAUCUGGUCAAAGAACAGUUUCAGGCGGGCAGUUUGACUGGGGCGGUCGCCUCCUAAACGGUAACGGAGGCGCACAAAGGUUUCCUCUGAACGGGUAGAAAUCGUAUCUAGAGUGUAAAGGCAUAAGGAAGCUUGACUGUGAGACCUACAAGUCGAGCAGGGACGAAAGUCGGUCUUAGUGAUCUGACGGUGCUGAGUGGAAAGGCCGUCACUCAACGGAUAAAAGUUACUCUAGGAUAACAGGCUGAUCUCCCCCAAGAGUUCACAUCGACGGGGAGGUUUGGCACCUCGAUGUCGGCUCAUCGCAUCCUGGGGCGGUAGUACGUCCCAAGGGUUGGGCUGUUCGCCCAUGAAAGCGGUACGCGAGCUGGGUUCAGAACGUCGUGAGACAGUUCGGUCCAUAUCCGGUGUAAGCGUUAGAAUAUUGAGAGGAGCCUUCUUUAGUACGAGAGGACCGAGAAGGAUGCACCGCUGGUGUACCAGUUAUUGUGCCAACAGUAAACGCUGGGUAGCUAUGUGUGGAGUGGAUAACCGCUGAAAGCAUCUAAGUGGGAAGCCCACCUCAAGAUAAGUAUUCUUAUCACGUAAGUGAAUAAGGUCACGGUAAGACUAACCGUUUGAUAGGCAUUAAGUGUAAAUCUAGUAAUAGACGAGCUGAGAUGUACUAACAGACCGAAGACUUG
This 1348-nucleotide ribosomal RNA is filed under the name metagenome. RNAcentral's name for it is "bacterial LSU rRNA". It matches the Rfam family "Bacterial large subunit ribosomal RNA", at positions 1564 to 2925 of the family's 2925-position model. The record is from RNAcentral.